CCUACGGGAGGCAGCAGUGAGGAAUAUUGGUCAAUGGGCGCGAGCCUGAACCAGCCAAGUAGCGUGAAGGAUGACUGCCCUACGGGCGUUAAACUUCUUUUGUGCGGGAGCAAUACUGGUCACGUGUGGCCAGACGCGAGUACCGUACGAAUAAGCAUCGGCUAACUCCGUGCCAGCAGCCGCGGUAAUACGGGGGAUGCAAGCGUUAUCCGGAUUUAUUGGGUUUAAAGGGUGCGUAGGAUGUGUGGUAAGUCAGCGGGGAAAUGCCUCCGCUCAACGGGGUGAAGUGCCAUUGAUACUGCCUUGCUGGAGUGCGGAUGCGGUGGGAGGAAUGUGUGGUGUAGCGGUGAAAUGCAUAGAUAUCACGAAGAACCCCGAUUGCGAAGGCAGCAUGCCGGCUUCCGACUGACGCUGAAGCACGAAAGCGUGGGGAUCGAACAGGAUUAGAUACCCCAGUAGUC
This 461-nucleotide ribosomal RNA is filed under the name uncultured bacterium. RNAcentral's name for it is "partial 16S ribosomal RNA". It matches the Rfam family "Bacterial small subunit ribosomal RNA", at positions 338 to 795 of the family's 1533-position model. The record is from RNAcentral.